CUUGAUGGAGCCGAGCCACAGGGGCUGGUCGGCCGGCCGCUCCUUGCCGUAGGUGGCGAGGAGCGCCUGCGCCUC
Non-coding RNA from Streptomyces aurantiacus JA 4570, 75 nucleotides. It matches the Rfam family "ASpks TB sRNA". NCBI's taxonomy places the organism in Bacteria, Bacillati, Actinomycetota, Actinomycetes, Kitasatosporales, Streptomycetaceae. The record is from Rfam.